Molecule: ribosomal RNA, 119 nt
Filed under: Pteropus alecto (black flying fox)
Lineage: Eukaryota; Metazoa; Chordata; Mammalia; Chiroptera; Pteropodidae
Source: RNAcentral
GUUUACGGCCAUACCACCCAAAAUGUGCCGGAUCUUGUCUGAUCUCAGAAGCUAAGCAGGGUCGGGCCUGGUUAGUAUGUGGAUGGGAGACCACCUAAGAAUACCAGGUGCUGUAAGCA